RNAcentral lists this ribosomal RNA (559 nucleotides) under uncultured bacterium. Its description in RNAcentral is "partial 16S ribosomal RNA". It matches the Rfam family "Bacterial small subunit ribosomal RNA", at positions 355 to 922 of the family's 1533-position model. The record is from RNAcentral.
UGGGGAAUAUUGCACAAUGGGCGCAAGCCUGAUGCAGCAACGCCGCGUGAGGGAUGACGGCCUUCGGGUUGUAAACCUCUUUUAGCAGGGAAGAAGCGAAAGUGACGGUACCUGCAGAAAAAGCACCGGCUAACUACGUGCCAGCAGCCGCGGUAAUACGUAGGGUGCAAGCGUUGUCCGGAAUUAUUGGGCGUAAAGAGCUCGUAGGCGGUCUGUCGCGUCUGCUGUGAAAUCCCGAGGCUCAACCUCGGGCCUGCAGUGGGUACGGGCAGACUAGAGUGCGGUAGGGGAGAAUGGAACUCCUGGUGUAGCGGUGGAAUGCGCAGAUAUCAGGAAGAACACCGAUGGCGAAGGCAGUUCUCUGGGCCGUAACUGACGCUGAGGAGCGAAAGCGUGGGGAGCGAACAGGAUUAGAUACCCUGGUAGUCCACGCCGUAAACGUUGGGCGCUAGAUGUGGGGCACCAUUCCACGGUUUCCGUGUCGCAGCUAACGCAUUAAGCGCCCCGCCUGGGGCAGUACGGCCGCAAGGCUAAAACUCAAAUGAAUUGACGGGGUCAU